CAAUAGCGUAUAUUAAAGUUGUUGCGGUUAAAAGCUCGUAGUUGGAUUUCUGCUGAGGACGACCGGUCCGCCCUCCGGGUGAGCAUCUGGUUCGGCCUUGGCAUCUUCUUGGUGAACGUAUCUGCACUUGACUGUGUGGUGCGGUACCCAGGACUUUUACUUUGAGGAAAUUAGAGUGUUUCAAGCAGGCAUACGCCUUGAAUACAUUAGCAUGGAAUAAUAAGAUAGGACCUCGGUUCUAUUUUGUUGGUUUCUAGAGCUGAGGUAAUGAUUAAGAGGGACAGACGGGGGCAUUCGUAUUACGGUGUUAGAGGUGAAAUUCUUGGAUCGCCGUAAGACGAACUACUGCGAAAGCAUUUGCCAAGAAUGUUUUCAUUAAUCAAGAACGAAAGUCAGAGGUUCGAAGACGAUUAGAUACCAU
RNAcentral lists this ribosomal RNA (421 nucleotides) under uncultured eukaryote. RNAcentral's name for it is "SSU rRNA". It matches the Rfam family "Eukaryotic small subunit ribosomal RNA", at positions 592 to 1018 of the family's 1831-position model. The record is from RNAcentral.